RNAcentral lists this ribosomal RNA (306 nucleotides) under Triticum aestivum (bread wheat). Its description in RNAcentral is "partial small subunit ribosomal RNA". The record is from RNAcentral. Lineage: Eukaryota; Viridiplantae; Streptophyta; Magnoliopsida; Poales; Poaceae.
AUGCCGACCUUGAGCCCAACAAUCAUUGUACUAGAUCAUACUAGAGGGUUGAUGACUGCCGGAUAUAGAAAUUUCCCGCUCCCUAGAUCUAGUCAUCUGAACCAAGGGUCUUGCGUGCUGUUCACAGCUCACUGUUACCCUCAAAGAGCAAGGGAGAUUUUUCCUCUGGAUCAAGUGGCAUUCAAGAUCCGGCUCCAUCACACUACUAAAAAAUUGAUCAUCUCCUCAACUUGGUGUGCACUUUCUUUUGGGUGCAAGCCACACCUUUUCCUUUACAAAGAAAUGGUGAUAGUCUCCGUUAAGUGA